This is a non-coding RNA of Schistosoma mansoni, 45 nucleotides long. NCBI's taxonomy places the organism in Eukaryota, Metazoa, Platyhelminthes, Trematoda, Strigeidida, Schistosomatidae. The record is from Rfam.
AUCCAGCUGAAGAGUUCCGAAUACAACGAAACGCACAUCCUGGAU